RNAcentral lists this ribosomal RNA (409 nucleotides) under Verrucomicrobiota bacterium. RNAcentral describes it as "Verrucomicrobia bacterium partial 16S ribosomal RNA". It matches the Rfam family "Bacterial small subunit ribosomal RNA", at positions 355 to 776 of the family's 1533-position model. The record is from RNAcentral. Lineage: Bacteria; Pseudomonadati; Verrucomicrobiota.
UGGGGAAUAUUGCACAAUGGGCGGAAGCCUGAUGCAGCGACGCCGCGUGAGGGAUGACGGCCUUCGGGUUGUAAACCUCUUUCAGUAGGGACGAAGCGUAAGUGACGGUACCUGCAGAAGAAGCACCGGCUAACUACGUGCCAGCAGCCGCGGUAAUACGUAGGGUGCGAGCGUUGUCCGGAAUUACUGGGCGUAAAGAGCUCGUAGGCGGUUUGUCACGUCGUCUGUGAAAUCCUAGGGCUUAACCCUGGACGUGCAGGCGAUACGGGCUGACUUGAGUGCUACAGGGGAGACUGGAAUUUCUGGUGUAGCGGUGGAAUGCACAGAUAUCAGGAAGAACACCGAUGGCGAAGGCAGGUCUCUGGGUAGUAACUGACGCUGAGGAGCGAAAGCAUGGGUAGCGAACAGG